RNAcentral lists this transfer RNA (63 nucleotides) under Heterosigma akashiwo. The record is from RNAcentral. Lineage: Eukaryota; Raphidophyceae; Chattonellales; Chattonellaceae.
UUGGUGUAGUUGGUAGAGCGCUCGCUUCCGAUGCUCGAAGUCACUGGUUCGAUCCCGGCCUUA